Molecule: ribosomal RNA, 484 nt
Filed under: Ladeaschistus bilobus
Lineage: Eukaryota; Metazoa; Arthropoda; Insecta; Hemiptera; Pentatomidae
Description: partial 16S ribosomal RNA
Rfam family: Bacterial large subunit ribosomal RNA
Source: RNAcentral
CCUGAUGUAUGUUUAUAUUAGGUCUAACCUGCUCAAUGAAUAUUUAAAUAGCCGCAGUAUUUUGACUGUGCGAAGGUAGCAUAAUCAUUUGUCUUUUAAUUGAAGGCUUGUAUGAAUGGUUGGAUGAGGGAAUUGCUUUCUUUAUAUUAAUUUGUUGAAUUUAAUUUUUAAGUUAAAAAGCUUAAAUUUUUAAAUGGGACGAGAAGACCCUAUAGAAUUUUAUUUAUAUUUAAUUCUUUUAAUCUUUGGUUAAUAUUUUAUUUCUAUUAAUGUUAAAUUUUGUUGGGGUGACAGUAAGAUUUUUUUAACUCUUAUAAAUUAUUUAUUUACAAAUUUGUAUAUUAAAGAUCCUAUAUUAAGGAUAUUUAGAUUAAAUUACCUUAGGGAUAACAGCGUUAUUUCUCUGGAGAGUUCUUAUCGAUAGAGGAGUUUGCGACCUCGAUGUUGGAUUAAAAUUAGAUUUAAGUGCAGCAGCUUAAUUAUC